GGGACCUGCGGAGGGAUCAUUACUGAGUUAACGCUCUAUAACCCUUUGUGAACGUACCUAACCGUUGCUUCGGCGGGCAGGGGAAGCCUCUCGCGGGCCUCCCCUCCCGGCGCCGGCCCCCACCACGGGGACGGGGCGCCCGCCGGAGGAAACCAAACUCUAUUUACACGACGUCUCUUCUGAGUGGCACAAGCAAAUAAUUAAAACUUUUAACAACGGAUCUCUUGGUUCUGGCAUCGAUGAAGAACGCAGCGAAAUGCGAUAAGUAAUGUGAAUUGCAGAAUUCAGUGAAUCAUCGAAUCUUUGAACGCACAUUGCGCUCGCCAGCAUUCUGGCGAGCAUGCCUGUUCGAGCGUCAUUUCAACCCUCAAGCACCGCUUGGUUUUGGGGCCCCACGGCCGACGUGGGCCCUUAAAGGUAGUGGCGGACCCUCCCGGAGCCUCCUUUGCGUAGUAACUAACGUCUCGCACUGGGAUCCGGAGGGACUCUUGCCGUUAAACCCCCAAAUUCUUUACAGGUUGACCUCGGAUCAGGUAGGAAUACCCGCUGAACU
RNAcentral lists this ribosomal RNA (553 nucleotides) under Colletotrichum fioriniae. RNAcentral describes it as "eukaryotic LSU rRNA". The stretch from base 205 to 358 matches the Rfam family "5.8S ribosomal RNA". Lineage: Eukaryota; Fungi; Ascomycota; Sordariomycetes; Glomerellales; Glomerellaceae. The record is from RNAcentral.